This 1482-nucleotide ribosomal RNA is filed under the name uncultured bacterium. RNAcentral's name for it is "bacterial SSU rRNA". It matches the Rfam family "Bacterial small subunit ribosomal RNA". The record is from RNAcentral.
AGAGUUUGAUCCUGGCUCAGGAUGAACGCUAGCGGCAGGCCUAACACAUGCAAGUCGAGGGGUAACAGGUGUAGCAAUACAUGCUGACGACCGGCGCACGGGUGAGUAACGCGUAUGCAACCUACCUUUAACAGGAGGAUAGCCCCGAGAAAUCGGGAUUAAUACUCCAUAAUAUUAUUGAACCGCAUGGUUUAAUAAUUAAAGUUUCGGUGGUAUAAGAUGGGCAUGCGUCUGAUUAGGUAGUUGGUGAGGUAACGGCUCACCAAGCCGACGAUCAGUAGGGGUUCUGAGAGGAUUACCCCCACACUGGUACUGAGACACGGACCAGACUCCUACGGGAGGCAGCAGUGAGGAAUAUUGGUCAAUGGGCGAAAGCCUGAACCAGCCAUGCCGCGUGAAGGAUGAAGGCCUUAUGGGUUGUAAACUUCUUUUAUACGGGAAUAAACUUAGCUAUGUAUAGCUAACUGCAGGUACCGUAUGAAUAAGCACCGGCUAACUCCGUGCCAGCAGCCGCGGUAAUACGGAGGGUGCAAGCGUUAUCCGGAUUUAUUGGGUUUAAAGGGUCCGCAGGCGGACCAAUAAGUCAGUGGUGAAAUCUCUCGGCUCAACCGAGAAACUGCCAUUGAUACUGUUGGUCUAGAGUGUAGUUGGCGUAGGCGGAAUGUAUCAUGUAGCGGUGAAAUGCUUAGAUAUGAUACAGAACACCGAUCGCGAAGGCAGCUUACGAAACUACAACUGACGCUCAGGGACGAAAGCGUGGGGAGCGAACAGGAUUAGAUACCCUGGUAGUCCACGCUGUAAACGAUGAUCACUCGUUGUUUGCGAUAUAUUGUAAGCGACUGAGCGAAAGCAUUAAGUGAUCCACCUGGGGAGUACGGUCGCAAGACUGAAACUCAAAGGAAUUGACGGGGGCCCGCACAAGCGGAGGAGCAUGUGGUUUAAUUCGAUGAUACGCGAGGAACCUUACCUGGGCUUAAAUGCUUAAUGACGUACUGGGAAACCGGUAUUUCUUCGGACAUUUUGCAAGGUGCUGCAUGGUUGUCGUCAGCUCGUGCCGUGAGGUGUCGGGUUAAGUCCCAUAACGAGCGCAACCCCUAUCGUUAGUUGCCAUCAGGUCAUGCUGGGGACUCUAACGAAACUGCCCGCGUAAGCGUGGAGGAAGGUGGGGAUGACGUCAAAUCAGCACGGCCCUUACGUCCAGGGCUACACACGUGCUACAAUGGCCGGUACAGAGGGCAGCCAUCCCGCGAGGGAGAGCAAAUCUCAAAAGCCGGUCUCAGUUCGGAUCGGAGUCUGAAACUCGACUCCGUGAAGUUGGAUUCGCUAGUAAUCGCGCAUCAGCCAUGGCGCGGUGAAUACGUUCCCGGGCCUUGUACACACCGCCCGUCAAACAAUGGAAGCUGGGGGUACCUAAAGUCCGUAACCGUAAGGAGCGGCCUAGGGUAAAACUGGUAACUGGUGUUAAGUCGUAACAAGGUAACC